RNAcentral lists this ribosomal RNA (274 nucleotides) under uncultured bacterium. RNAcentral's name for it is "partial 16S ribosomal RNA". It matches the Rfam family "Archaeal small subunit ribosomal RNA", at positions 473 to 747 of the family's 1478-position model. The record is from RNAcentral.
AAACCAGCACCUCAAGUGGUCAGGAGGAUUAUUGGGCCUAAAGCAUCCGUAGCCUGUUCUGUAAGUUUUCGGUUAAAUCCAUUAGCUCAACUAAUGGGCCGCCGAAAAUACUGCAUAACUAGGGAGUGGGAGAGGUAGACGGUACUCGGUAGGAAGGGGUAAAAUCCUUUGAUCUAUUGAUGACCACCUGUGGCGAAGGCGGUCUACCAGAACACGUUCGACGGUGAGGGAUGAAAGCUGGGGGAGCAAACCGGAUUAGAAACCCCGGUAGUCC